Molecule: long non-coding RNA, 473 nt
Organism: Patella vulgata (common limpet)
Lineage: Eukaryota; Metazoa; Mollusca; Gastropoda; Patellidae
Exons: 5
Source: RefSeq, a predicted model, not a curated record
AAAAUUCAUUUACUGAUAGGCCUACCUAAAGUCACUAAGCCACCAUGUUGUUUUUGGUUUGUGUUUUGAUAUUAAUACCAGCGAGCUUAAGUCUACCAGCCGUUGACCCGAGUAUUGAUGUAGAUAUCCAUCUAGACAGAUUUAGGGAGCACGUGAAAAACGAAUCAGAGAGAUUAUGGGUGGAUAUGGAUUAUAAUAAGAAUGGCCAGUAUGACCGAGAUGACCUGGAAACUCUAAUAACUGAUUACGACAAUAAUGGUGAUCGUAAAAUUACAGAAGUAGAAUUUGAAUUCCAUUUUGAUAUGCAGGAACCAACUUUAGCCAUCGUUGCUAAGGCCUUAUUUGUUGAAUAUGACCACGACCAGGAUGGCGUUAUUGAUUCUACAGAUUUGGACGGUGUACAUGAUAGAAUGGAUCAUCUACGUAAAGAUGGAGUAAUUGACCACGAGGAAUUUGUAACAUACUAUACCGAG